AUUGAACGCUGGCGGCAUGCCUUACACAUGCAAGUCGAACGGCAGCACGGGGCAACCUGGUGGCGAGUGGCGAACGGGUGAGUAAUGCAUCGGAACGUACCUUUCAGUGGGGAUAACGUAGCGAAAGUUACGCUAAUACCGCAUAUUCUGUGAGCAGGAAAGCAGGGGAUCGCAAGACCUUGCGCUGAUUGAGCGGCCGAUGUCAGAUUAGCUAGUUGGUGAGGUAAAGGCUCACCAAGACGACGAUCUGUAGCGGGUCUGAGAGGAUGAUCCGCCACACUGGAACUGAGACACGGUCCAGACUCCUACGGGAGGCAGCAGUGGGGAAUUUUGGACAAUGGGGGCAACCCUGAUCCAGCCAUGCCGCGUGAGUGAAGAAGGCCUUCGGGUUGUAAAGCUCUUUCGGCCGGGAAGAAAUCGCACAGGCUAAUACCCUGUGUGGAUGACGGUACCGGAAUAAGAAGCACCGGCUAACUACGUGCCAGCCGCCGCCGUAA
This 497-nucleotide ribosomal RNA is filed under the name uncultured bacterium. RNAcentral describes it as "partial 16S ribosomal RNA". It matches the Rfam family "Bacterial small subunit ribosomal RNA", at positions 30 to 523 of the family's 1533-position model. The record is from RNAcentral.